GUCUACUCUUCAUCUGGUGCUCCGCCUGCGCGGUGGUGCCAAGAAGAGGAAGAAAAAAACCUACACCAAGCCCAAGAAGCUGAAACAUAAGAAGAAGAAAGUCAAGCUCGCGGUGCUGCAGUUCUACAAGGUGGACGACUCUGGGAAGGUGCAGCGCCUCCGCAAGGAGUGCCCCAACCCGGAAUGCGGAGCCGGAACCUUCAUGGCCAAUCACUUCGACCGUCACUAUUGCGGCAAGUGUGGUCUGACUUAUGUUUACCAGAAGGCUGGUGCAGAGUAGAGCUCUUUACUAUAUGUAUCAGGCUGGUUGUCCGUAGGUUUGAGCUCGCAUGUGCUGGUGUCAUUCGAGGCAGUUUAUUUCAAUCGAAUUUUAACGUUUCAGGCAGCGUGAUCAU
Molecule: long non-coding RNA, 395 nt
Filed under: Physcomitrium patens
Lineage: Eukaryota; Viridiplantae; Streptophyta; Bryopsida; Funariales; Funariaceae
Description: long non-coding RNA (PPAT_LNC005339)
Source: RNAcentral